UGAGGUGAUUCACACAUUGAUAACAUCUUGGUUGAGCUCGCAUCUUUGUUGAGCUCGCAACUUUGAAUGAGCUCGCAAGUUUGGAUGGGCUCGCAGCUUUGCGACCUGAGUUCGCCAUUAAAUGAAUGGCCACUUCGUAACAAAAGGAUCAAAGGUACACUUAUCAAAACCUUAUAUUUUACCUUUAAACCUUAGAUUUGCUUUUCUUGAAGGCCAAGAUCAUUAGAUUUGCUUGAUAAUGAACGCUUUGAAUUCAUAUUUUAGAAGGAGAUUUUUGUGGAUAAAUACUUCAAUUUAAAAUGGUAUUUUAUCCCCCAAAUGUUACUUGGGGAAGUUGCCUUAUUUUGCCUAUAAAUAGGCAGUGCCGAUGCACAUUGGAUACAUCUUUUGGGAGUGUAUUUACUUGAGCUACUACCAUCUUCUUUGCUUGUAUUUGCUUUGUUUAUUUCACUCUUUAUAUAGGCUUUCUUAGUGGGUGAGUAAUUGUAACUAUUGGGCAUAUUUGUUGGGGUUACAAUUGCUUCUUGUUGCAACUAUUGGGCAUAUUUGUUGGGGUUACAAUUACUUGUUAUUGUAGCGGUAGAUUAGGCUUUAGCCAAUAAAUUUUUGAAUUUAUUAUUAAAUAAAUCGUUCAUUGAUAAAACUAUGUAGAUUAAAAUUUUUAUCCGAGCCGUGUCAAAAAAAUCAUGUGUGUGAAUCUCUCUUUAAAAACUGUUGUUAAGCUAUCUUAUUCCAAACUAUGUUAGAACAUUAGUUGACACAUCGAAUUGGGAUAGGGAGCAAACUGACUUCUUUUUCAACUCCUCCUUGAUGGCGGUUCUGUUGGUUGUAGGUAUGACGGCCUGCCAUUGUUGGCUUCUUCGAUCACUCUCCUUCCUCCCUUGUUGCAUGCCGUAGCCACCAAAAGUUGUGGUGGCUAGGGUUUGUUUCUUUGGGAUUGAGUUGGACCUUGAUUGCCCAAGUACUCAUUGUUUGAAUUAUUUUGGACUUUUGAGCCUCCUUAUUCAGUUGCUAAAAAAAUUGCAAAUUAGUCCACUUUAAUUUCUUGAAUUUUAUAAUCAUAUUUGUAAAAUAUAUUUCAUAGGUCAAAGAUGGUGUUCUAUACCGAACUAAACUUUAGUAUAAGAGAUUUAGAAUCUUCUCUAGAACCACGACAUUCUCUCAACUCUACG
This 1172-nucleotide long non-coding RNA is filed under the name Gossypium barbadense (sea-island cotton). RNAcentral's name for it is "long non-coding RNA (GBAR_LNC013403)". Lineage: Eukaryota; Viridiplantae; Streptophyta; Magnoliopsida; Malvales; Malvaceae. The record is from RNAcentral.